Molecule: long non-coding RNA, 320 nt
Filed under: Populus trichocarpa (black cottonwood)
Lineage: Eukaryota; Viridiplantae; Streptophyta; Magnoliopsida; Malpighiales; Salicaceae
Description: long non-coding RNA (PTRI_LNC002705)
Source: RNAcentral
GUAAAUCCCUAAUUAAAUAUGCUAUAAAUAAAAUUAGGCGUUGUGGUUUUGUGUGCACAUCUGGUUGGUGCCGAGGAGAUGGACUAGUUCGGGUUGGUGGAGGUUUGGAUAGUGGCUAUUGAUGGCUGAAGAAUGGUGGUUAUUGUGAAGGGUUACUAGUGGUUUGAGUUUGUUGAUUUUGCUGUUAUGGUGGUGGAAACGAAGGCAUAGCUAUAUGCUAUAUCCUAGAUUUGAUGGUUGGGUUGUGUUAGUCUCAGUUUUGUCACAGCUUAGUUGGUGGAGAAAAUGGCUAGGUUUGGUGGUGGGGAAGAAGAUGCGGC